CCGCGUGUGUGAAGAAGGUCUUCGGAUUGUAAAGCACUUUAAGUUGGGAGGAAGGGCAGUAAAUUAAUACUUUGCUGUUUUGACGUUACCGACAGAAUAAGCACCGGCUAACUCUGUGCCAGCAGCCGCGGUAAUACAGAGGGUGCAAGCGUUAAUCGGAAUUACUGGGCGUAAAGCGCGCGUAGGUGGUUAGUUAAGUUGGAUGUGAAAUCCCCGGGCUCAACCUGGGAACUGCAUUCAAAACUGACUGACUAGAGUAUGGUAGAGGGUGGUGGAAUUUCCUGUGUAGC
RNAcentral lists this ribosomal RNA (290 nucleotides) under uncultured bacterium. RNAcentral's name for it is "partial 16S ribosomal RNA". It matches the Rfam family "Bacterial small subunit ribosomal RNA", at positions 397 to 679 of the family's 1533-position model. The record is from RNAcentral.